UACCAUGCAGUCGAGCGGAGAUGAGGUGCUUGCACCUUAUCUUAGCGGCGGACGGGUGAGUAAUGCUUAGGAAUCUGCCUAUUAGUGGGGGACAACAUUCCGAAAGGAAUGCUAAUACCGCAUACGUCCUACGGGAGAAAGCAGGGGAUCUUCGGACCUUGCGCUAAUAGAUGAGCCUAAGUCGGAUUAGCUAGUUGGUGGGGUAAAGGCCUACCAAGGCGACGAUCUGUAGCGGGUCUGAGAGGAUGAUCCGCCACACUGGGACUGAGACACGGCCCAGACUCCUACGGGAGGCAGCAGUGGGGAAUAUUGGACAAUGGGGGGAACCCUGAUCCAGCCAUGCCGCGUGUGUGAAGAAGGCCUUAUGGUUGUAAAGCACUUUAAGCGAGGAGGAGGCUACUGAGACUAAUACUCUUGGAUAGUGGACGUUACUCGCAGAAUAAGCACCGGCUAACUCUGUGCCAGCAGCCGCGGUAAUACAGAGGGUGCGAGCGUUAAUCGGAUUUACUGGGCGUAAAGCGUGCGUAGGCGGCUUUUUAAGUCGGAUGUGAAAUCCCCGAGCUUAACUUGGGAAUUGCAUUCGAUACUGGGAAGCUAGAGUAUGGGAGAGGAUGGUAGAAUUCCAGGUGUAGCGGUGAAAUGCGUAGAGAUCUGGAGGAAUACCGACGGCGAAGGCAGCCAUCUGGCCUAAUACUGACGCUGAGGUACGAAAGCAUG
This 717-nucleotide ribosomal RNA is filed under the name uncultured bacterium. RNAcentral describes it as "bacterial SSU rRNA". It matches the Rfam family "Bacterial small subunit ribosomal RNA", at positions 52 to 763 of the family's 1533-position model. The record is from RNAcentral.